RNAcentral lists this transfer RNA (65 nucleotides) under Batrachostomus cornutus. RNAcentral describes it as "tRNA-Ser". The record is from RNAcentral. Lineage: Eukaryota; Metazoa; Chordata; Aves; Caprimulgiformes; Batrachostomatidae.
GGGGAGGCCCAACCAACAGGAACUGCUAAUUCUUGCCCCUGAACCUAAAACUUCAGUCCCCUUGA